UGCAUAUUGAAUUCAGGAGGCCGCUUACUAUGUAGGAAAAUAGUAAUCUUUGGCCAAGUACACCAUUGCAAAGGAUGUAGAGGUGAACUCUCAGCAUGAGCUGGCACUGAUCUGAAGCACACAGCUAGACAAAAAAAAGUCCUUCUCCAGCCUCAGCUGGCUACUGUAGCAGUUCUUGAGGAAGAGCAUGUGGCAUCUUCUAUGAAAGCUGCUAACGCAGAGGGGAAAAAAAAGAGGAAAGGUAUCAUCAAGGCAGCUGCCACUCAUGGCCGUGGCUGCCUUUGCUGUGAGCAGCCCUGCCCUGGAGAAGAGCAUCUGGGAAAAGGCAGACAGCUUGGGAGAAGUCAGAAAAAAGUGAAUGUUACUAAAAGAAUACAACUUCUAAAGCCUAAAUGUAUUUCAGAAGAACUGGACAACAGAUAUUCUGUAGGAAUAUGGGAAGGGAGUUAGUGGAAUUAGAUGGAUCAGUUGAAAAGUUUUAGAUUAGACAUCUUAAGAAACACCUUACCCUGAGAAGAAAGAGCUGUAGCUUCACCUGUAACUGUUAUACAAGUCAUGGGCUUUGAACUGGUACACGUACUGCUUUUCUUUUUCAAUGUGGACCACUCUGGGUGAAGAUGAGAUGUUUUUGCUAAUAUCAGAAUAUUUGGCUUUUAUAUCAGCUGCACUUGAUACUGUUGAGUAUAGCAGGACGCUUGAUAAGGUGGAUGUCGUGCCCUGAGUUUCUGCUCAGAGCAAUAGCCUUAACAUGUUACUCCAGGUUAUUUUGUCAGAGGCUGAUCUUAGAAAGCAUUCUGUUGCCCCGGUUUUUCUCUGACAGCAUUUCUUUCUUCAGAUCUGGAAGCAUUUAUUUUCUUCUAGUGCCUGAUAUCAUAGGAACUUGAAUGAGAAACUUAGCCUAGGAAAUACUAAGCCGAGACAAGAGGCAUCGUCUAGAAGAGGACUCACUGUAGUGUUAAUCUGGCCACCCUUUCAAAAGAGAUGCAGACUUCCUGGUAUCACUGGAAAGCCACUUCCCCCGCUGUUUGGGAUUGCCCAAGGGAAGUUUGUUUCCUGUUUGCAACGUUGUGACUGUUACUACUGAACUGUGAACUCACAGAGAAGUUGAUCUGGUAAAGGCUGAGUUUCCAUAAGGUACUCCACAGAAGAUACUGACACAGUAAGCCUAUGGGAGUUUUCUACUGUGAUGAAAUGUGUAACCACAUGGUAAGCUGUAACAGCUGCAGUUAAAUGUGAAAAUGAAGCUUGUGUAUUAAAAUAGUCCUGAUAAAGAUCCAGUACGAUAAAAGAUGUUGCACUGCACAAUUAAUUGUUUGACAUGGGGUCUGAACAAGAACAACAUCUUUAGUCAUAUGACUAACAGGUAGCAGCUAAUUAUGGGUAAAUCAUCAAUGCAACAUUGCUACAACAAUAAGGACAGCCUAAACAAAGGAAGUUCUCCCUUAAUGUGGAACUGUUUUAAUCUCGUGGUAUGCUAGACUCUAGCAAAAUACAGAGUUUCACUAUGCAGUAUUAGCAUGUUUUCUUUUUACUGUAAUUCUUCUAAUAUUCUUUAUAUUACUCUGCCCACAUUGGCAUUUUGAAAUUAAUUUUUCAAUGUAGUGCUCAUUUAAUAGUCACUGAAGAAUAAAAUCAUCAGAGCUAUAGUAGCACUUGUUUUCUAAAAUGUCAGUCUACCUAAAGUGACAUAGAAACUCACACUAGUUUAAUAUUUCUUUAUUUCACUUGUUGAAAUUACACCAGUAUUCUAAAUGGACUGUGGUGGUUAUAUUUAUAUGCAGGCAUUCAUGAACAUCUAUUUUAUUUAAUUUCUACAUGGGAAAAGACCCUUAAACAUUCAAAAAUACUGAAUGAAGAAAGAAGUGUUUUAACUCAUGGUUUUACCUAUGUUUAAAAUAUUCAAAAUGUGUGCUAGUACAAAUCUUGAUUCCCUACUCUCUGGGGCAUAAUAGCUGGGUACAAAUAAUCAGCAACAUGUUUGCAGGCAUUGGUUUCACAAAGCUACCUUUCAAAAAAAGUAUUUUAACAUACUAACAGUGGGAUACAGUCUGUGAAACAGAGAUUAAAAAUGUCUUUGUUGUGAGACCAAUUGAAUUAUAAAUUUAGAUGGGAAAAGUUACGUUAUCAACAAGAUAGAUUUUCACUGCACAAAAAUAGAUUCAAUGAAAUAUGUAAAAGAUCUCCAUUUAUACCUGAUAGGAAACGUAAUUUCCUCUUACACACCCACACAGCUACUGUUGAAGUGUGAAUUGCCAGGUCUUCCAUUUCAUGGCUAGUCAUUAUUAGUACAUAUUUAAGUAGGGUUGAAAUAUAACAAAACAAAUGUAAGCUUACUGUCUGGUUCCUUCAGUACUGGAGAAAUGUUACAGAAUUUUAGUAUUCAGAUCAAGCAGUAAAUCUGCUAUAAACCACCAGAAGAUACUCCAGCCAAGAAAAAACUUGGUAGCUACCACAAGAGACUUUGCUGGCUUUCAGCAAGUGCUGAGAGGGAGGGCAGUACUUUCCCAGUGGUAGCUGCUAGAGCACCAGUUUUCCUUCUGCUUUCCAUUCCAGAUGUGCUAUAUGGAAGCCUGAAAAUCUGUUCCUUAAUUUGCAGCUCCCAAUAUGCUGAAGCCUGUGAAACAGUGAUAAGGAAGUUAUCAAAGAAGAAACCUGGAAUUCAGAAAUGCAUAUGUAGUUCCAACAAGAACAGGAUAAUAAUGAAACGCCUUUGUACUAAUGGAAGAUCAAGCGUCAAUCAAUGUUAAUAGUCUUAAUGAAAGUUCUUACAUGAAUUGAGAAGCCUGAAUAAAAAUAGGAGGAUCAAGAAUAGUUGAGUAAUUGUAUUUUACUAGCAGCGUAUCAAACACAUCAAAACAUCAAGAUUUGAACAAAUUCAAAAUACAGAGGUGAGCAAGGAAACAGAAGUAGCAUUUUUGUAAUACAUCAUUUAGGGCUGUUUUUCUUAUCUCCUAAAUCAGACAUAAAACUUAGUGCUUAAACAAAAAUGUGGGGGGGGACAGGACAGAGAGAAAAAUGAAUGGUGUCUGUUGUAAUCACUCUGUUACACCAUGUAUAUGCCCUACCCUGGAAUAUACCCCUGCCUUCUCAUCCACCCCUCGUAUCUUCCUGGAAAGUGUGAUGGUUAAUGAUACAAUGUGUAGUGAAACAAUUUCUCCCAUACGAAUUAAAAGGACAGGUUCAUGGACUAAAGAAUUAUUCAUAAUCAUGAGUAAUGAUCCAAUAAAUCAUCCAGUUGGAUGAUGGAGAGCAGGAUCAUCAACUGGAUGAGAUUCUGGCUUUUCAGGGGCUAGCGAGGAGCAACUUACUCUUCUGAAAGAUCCCAGCAACUUCGUCUGGAGACUGAACAUCCAAGCACAUCCCAUUGACUGAUUGAUCCUGACAUAUCUGAAGAUCACGAUUAUGAAAAUGUAUAGAACACAGGACUGACACCAGUGGCAUAAGCCUGAUGAUCCAUUUAUGGUUUCCAAAUGCAGUCCUCCCUCUUGCUGUGUGAAUGGCCAUGCCAGACUGGUCCCACAGCUCAAGAGUCACUUAGUACAUAAUUCAGCUUAUUUUGAAGGAAGGUGGUCAUCUGAAAUAAAUGCUGAGGCACGGCAGGGGUAUGUAAUGCAAUAGUUUCUCCUUCAACAUGACACCUAGAUGGUGAUGCUGUAUGCCUGUUUCAUGUGAAGCUUUUCACGAUGCAUGUUAUAUGCACUCUGAGCAAGGGGGAUUUAUUUUUUUUGGCAGUGACUUCAGCGUAAUCAGCAUUGGCUCCUGUACACAGACAUGGCCCCUGGGCUUGUCACUGCGGUGUUGCAUGCUGACAUGUCCCAUGGAGCUCACUGAAACUUUUUCAACAGUCUCUUUCAUGGCCUACCUGUAUGUCAGAGGUUUUGGGACAAGGAUCAGAUACUUCCCAAAUAUGAAGGAAACCCAUAAAAAUCAAAAGAUAUACUAUAACAGAAUAAAACUAUUACAUCGUGCAUUGAAAUUAAUUGAAAUUAAGUUUCCUGUUUAUACAUAGAGAAACAUUCUUCAGGUAAACAGGGGAAAUACUAUAAUAAAGUCUUUUUAAAAAAGUAGAACAUUAGCUGUCUUUCAUUAGGAUAGUAAUAAAAAAAGGUACAUAUAUAGGGUGAACCAGUGGAAAGCAGAGUAUCUGGCCAUGCCCCAGAAGAUAUAUUUACUGGAGAGAGUUGUAUGUAUUUUGUCUAGACACAUACACAGAACUAUUUUUAUUUUUAUCAUAGCCAUGGUGAGAAACCCAUACUGAUGUGGGGAUAGAUUCAUCUUCCUAGUGUGGAGUGUGACACAUAGGUAAUGGUUGCUCUUGCACAGUUUGGCGUUUUUGACAGAUACUUCCUUUUCUAUUAACUCUAUAUCUCCUCUCCUUUAUAGUAAUACCACAAGUAGUUUUUUUAAGGGGUGGGGGGAAAAGCAGCAUGCCAUUAUAAAUCCAUCUACUCUAAUUAGUGGUUACAAACACAAAACUCCUUCAUCAUAAUAAUGUAGUUAUAGUGUAAAAUCACUAGCACCUUUCUAGUUCUUCAUAUGAUUUGUUUGGGGUUUUUUUCCUGUAACCCUAGAACAGGAUUUCUUGAAUCUGUAAUAGAUGGGGGGACAAUUACAGCACCUUUGUAAACUUUUUACUACUAAGUUGUUUACAAUAAUUUCAAAUAAUUCCAUGUUAUCAUCA
Molecule: long non-coding RNA, 4681 nt
Organism: Falco peregrinus (peregrine falcon)
Lineage: Eukaryota; Metazoa; Chordata; Aves; Falconiformes; Falconidae
Exons: 2
Source: RefSeq, a predicted model, not a curated record